Molecule: ribosomal RNA, 203 nt
Filed under: uncultured bacterium
Lineage: Bacteria
Description: partial 16S ribosomal RNA
Rfam family: Bacterial small subunit ribosomal RNA
Source: RNAcentral
UACGAAGGGGGCUAGCGUUGCUCGGAAUGACUGGGCGUAAAGGGCGCGUAGGCGGAUGGCACAGUCAGAUGUGAAAUUCCCGGGCUUAACCUGGGGGCUGCAUUUGAUACGUGUGAUCUAGAGUGAGGAAGAGGGUCGUGGAAUUCCCAGUGUAGAGGUGAAAUUCGUAGAUAUUGGGAAGAACACCGGUGGCGAAGGCGGCG